Molecule: ribosomal RNA, 919 nt
Filed under: uncultured bacterium
Lineage: Bacteria
Description: bacterial SSU rRNA
Rfam family: Bacterial small subunit ribosomal RNA
Source: RNAcentral
AACACAUGCAAGUCGAACGAAGUAGCAAUACUUAGUGGCAGACGGGUGAGUAACAUGUGGGUAUCUGCCCUUUGGCCUGGAAUAACACGAGGAAACUUGUGCUAAUACCGGAUAAGUCUUUACGGAGAAAGCUUUAUGCACCAUUGGAUGAGCCCGCACUUGAUUAGUUUGUUGGUGGGGUAAUGGCCUACCAAGACUGUGAUCAAUAGCUGAUUUGAGAGGAUGAUCAGCAACACUGGGACUGAGACACGGCCCAGACUCCUACGGGAGGCAGCAGUGGGGAAUCUUAGACAAUGGGCGCAAGCCUGAUCUAGCCAUGCCGCGUGAGUGAUGAAGGCCUUAGGGUCGUAAAGCUCUUUCGCCUGUGAAGAUAAUGACUGUAGCAGGUAAAGAAACCCCGGCUAACUCCGUGCCAGCAGCCGCGGUAAUACGGAGGGGGUUAGCGUUGUUCGGAAUUACUGGGCGUAAAGCGCGCGUAGGCGGACAUUUAAGUCAGGGGUGAAAUCCCGGGGCUCAACCCCGGAACUGCCCUUGAUACUGGGUGUCUUGAGUUCGAGAGAGGUGAGUGGAAUUCCGAGUGUAGAGGUAAAAUUCGUAGAUAUUCGGAGGAACACCAGUGGCGAAGGCGGCUCACUGGCUCGAUACUGACGCUGAGGUGCGAAAGUGUGGGGAGCAAACAGGAUUAGAUACCCUGGUAGUCCACACCGUAAACGAUGAAUGCCAGUCGUCGGGCAGUAUACUGUUCGGUGACACACCUAACGGAUUAAGCAUUCCGCCUGGGGAGUACGGUCGCAAGAUUAAAACUCAAGGAAUUGACGGGGGCCCGCACAGCGUGGAGCAUGUGGUUUAAUUCGAAGCAACGCGCAGAACCUUACCAACCCUUGACAUUUGUCGCCACCUCCAGAGAUGGGAGGGGUUC